GCUUGUCUCAAAGAUUAAGCCAUGCAUGUCUAAGUAUAAAUAUCUAUACUGUGAAACUGCGUAUGGCUCAUUAAAUCAGUUAUAGUUUAUUUGAUGAUACCCCACUACAUGGAUAACCGUAGUAAUUCUAGAGCUAAUACAUGCAGGAAGACCCGACUCACGAAGGGUUGUAUUUAUUAGAUAAGAAACCUUCCCCUUUGGGUUGCGUGCCGAGUCACAAUAACUGCUCGAAUCGCAUGGCUUCACGCCGGCGAUGGUUCAUUCAAAUUUCUGCCCUAUCAGCUUUCGAUGGUAGGAUCGAGGCCUACCAUG
This 312-nucleotide ribosomal RNA is filed under the name uncultured fungus. RNAcentral describes it as "partial small subunit ribosomal RNA". It matches the Rfam family "Eukaryotic small subunit ribosomal RNA", at positions 30 to 348 of the family's 1831-position model. Lineage: Eukaryota; Fungi. The record is from RNAcentral.